Molecule: ribosomal RNA, 468 nt
Filed under: uncultured bacterium
Lineage: Bacteria
Description: partial 16S ribosomal RNA
Rfam family: Bacterial small subunit ribosomal RNA
Source: RNAcentral
GACGAACGCUGGCGGCGUGCUUAACACAUGCAAGUCGAACGGAAAGGCCCUGCUUUUGUGGGGUGCUCGAGUGGCGAACGGGUGAGUAACACGUGAGUAACCUGCCCUUGACUUUGGGAUAACUUCAGGAAACUGGGGCUAAUACCGGCUAGGAGCUCCUGCUGCAUGGUGGGGGUUGGAAAGUUUCGGCGGUUGGGGAUGGACUCGCGGCUUAUCAGCUUGUUGGUGGGGUAGUGGCUUACCAAGGCUUUGACGGGUAGCCGGCCUGGGAGGGUGACCGGCCACAUUGGGACUGAGAUACGGACCAGACUCCUACGGGAGGCAGCAGUGGGGAAUAUUGCACAAUGGGCGGAAGCCUGAUGCAGCAACGCCGCGUGCGGGAUGACGGCCUUCGGGGUGUAAACCGCUUUCGCCUGUGACGAAGCGUGAGUGACGGUAAUGGGUAAAGAAGCACCGGCUAACUACGUG